UUGACAUUAAGCAUAAAAAACGUGCUAGCUGAUGCUCUAUCUAGAGUGUAGCUUGGUAAGUCUGUUUGAGAUAAACAUGACAUGUUUAUUCUUAUGGGGUGGAGUGUUACGUCCCAUGUUAUUAUUUGUUUUGGGAAUGGUAUUUUGUUUGUUUGUUUUCUUCCCUCUUCUUUUUUUCUCUGUCUUUACUUUCGUUUCAGCAGGGUGAUGCGGGUACCUGAGUGGUCAAAUCUUUUGCAAAUCACCAUGACGCGUGGUGACGACAACGCGCGGCUUCACCAAUGAGGGCGCCCUAGUUGAUUAUUAAAGAGCGCAGCUGUGCAGGAAGCGGGAGCUCUCUGGCACGCCACACAUUCUGUUGUUGUUUGGUGAUUGACUCGCGUGCUUGUUUUGCCCUGUACCAUCCUUGUGUUUGAUACCUGUUGGUUAAGUCUGUGUUCUUUGAUAAGUCAGUGUUUAACAGCCCGUUCGAUCUUUUCUCUUUGGUGUUUCUCGCCGUUUCUGUUAUCUGGUUGAUAAACCGACAUUACUAAAUGGGGAAAGAGAUAACAGAAGAAAGACGGACGCUGGCACUGAUUGCCCUGGUAUAAGCACAUCUGGUUUGAUCUAACGGAGGGUGAUCCCUGUAACCUGCUCACAGAUGUUUCCUAUCACAAUCUCACAGAGGUCAUCCCUUCUGCCUUGUGCCGUUACAUGGACAAAACAAAA
Long non-coding RNA from Ctenopharyngodon idella (grass carp), 708 nucleotides. RefSeq lists it as uncharacterized. The record is from RefSeq and is a predicted model, not a curated record. The transcript has 3 exons. Lineage: Eukaryota; Metazoa; Chordata; Actinopteri; Cypriniformes; Xenocyprididae.